This 174-nucleotide ribosomal RNA is filed under the name Batrachyla leptopus (gray wood frog). Its description in RNAcentral is "partial 16S ribosomal RNA". The record is from RNAcentral. Lineage: Eukaryota; Metazoa; Chordata; Amphibia; Anura; Batrachylidae.
ACGUGAUCUGAGUUCAGACCGGAGUAAUCCAGGUCAGUUUCUAUCUAUAAGGGGACUUUUCUAGUACGAAAGGAUUGAAAAAACGUGGCCCAUGUUAACUAUAAGCCACUAUUAAUAAUUUAUGAAUUACCCUUAAUUUAUACUUAACCCAACAACACACUUAAGAAAAAAGUA